UGCAGAGUUUUCCCAUAAUUUUUCGCAGUGUCGGUCUCCGUUUACAUCCGUAACUUUCUUGAUUUGCCAUGAAUAACGUCAAAAAGAAACCCUGUAUAAACACCGCCAAUGCCGUUUCUGAAGGCAGUGUACCGCCGUUGGAGGGCCUGCCACUUCCAGAAGCCAUUAUUUUCAGCCAAAAUUUUUAGUAAACUAGAUUUGGAAUCACUUUGUUCCCGGGCUUGCGUUUCCCGGGGAUUCCGUUCAAUCGUUUCUCAAGCUCUUUCAACUCUCCCCUGUCUUGAUCUCUAUGCUGUUUCACUGACUGGCGAGAUUCUGGAUUGGAUUAUCCCGAAAUUUAGAGGUUGAAGUCUCCGGUUGGAUGAGUCCUCAGUGACCAACAUUCUUGGGCCACAUCUCCAAGAAUUGAAUUUGCUCAACUCACUCUCCUAUGACAUUCUUUCAUCUAUUGGUAAAAGGCGCCCCAAUUUAAGGAGAUACAUCACCUAAAAUUUUCAAGAACCUUAUAGAAAUUUUGAAAGGCAUUCUCAGUUUGGAGUCUAUCCAUAAAAGUCCUUGGAAUAGAGCUUGAUGCAUAUGAUUUAACUGCCAUUGAUCUCUUCCUACCCCAGACUCUCGAACUUCUUAAAUUACAGCCUGUGAAUGAGUAAGAUGCUAUUCUGUUUACAGAAGUACUUGGAGAAGGAAAAAAUAAUCCGGGACGCUUGGUCAAUUUUGCCAUGCACUCAAAUUUUGGACACACUGUUUUUUACACUGCUGCAUUUGACACUUGUCCUGAAUGUCAGAUCUGAUGAACUUAUAAUCUUAAUUGCCAAUUCGCUUCCAUUUUUAGUUGAGCUGGAUCUUGAAGACGGAACAAGCAUCGAACCAAAACUGCCUCAUGACUUCACUAACGCUGGGCUACAAUCUCUAGGCUUGUUUCAGCAUCUCACCUCUCUGUCAAUUGUAGGCAGUAUACUGAAUUUUCCAGUGUCUUUUAAAAGAGUAAAUGGUUUGGGCUUAAUGCUUCUUUCUUAAGAGUUGCAGAGGCCUUGAGUCUGUGAGACUUGGUGGGUUUUCUACGGUUAGUGAUGCAGGGUUUUCGUCCAUUUUAUGCUCUUGCUAUAAUUUGAAGAAAUUUGAAGUUUGCAAUGCACCGCUAAUGUCAGACUUGGCUUUUCAUGACACCAAUGAGGUCGUCUCUCCUCUUACUGAUCUGAGAAUCUUGUCGUGCAACCUCAUAAUUAGCAAAGCUGUGGCUGAACUUGCUGCAUCUACUGUAUUGGAGUGCUUGUUCUUAUGGUUGCAGGAGCAUCGCCAACCCCUGUCUCGACUUCAUAUCACUCCUUAGUACACUAACCACGCUAAACCUAGGAGGAGCUGAUAUCACAUUGACAAUGGUCUUGCUGUUUUGGGUAAAGGGGACUUACUGAUGAACAUUUGAGUCUAGAGGAUGUGUGAGAGUCACUGAUGGAGGAAUAUUCUCCGUACUCAAUGUUGGGGAGAAAAUCAAGAUGACGUUAUCAUCUCUAGAUAUUGGUCACAUGCCAGGAAUAUUAGAUAGAGGUAUCAAAAGCUUCAAAACAAUUGUUUCUAGCUCGAGCAAUUACUGAGCCAUAUAUGAGGGAGCAAUUACUGAGCCAUAUAUGAGGACAGUUCGUUUCGUGGCUUGCGAUGGCUUGGAUUUGGCAGCACUUCUUUGGUUACUGCAAGGGAUAAUUACAGAGUAAUAUGCA
Molecule: long non-coding RNA, 1715 nt
Organism: Olea europaea var. sylvestris
Lineage: Eukaryota; Viridiplantae; Streptophyta; Magnoliopsida; Lamiales; Oleaceae
Exons: 5
Source: RefSeq, a predicted model, not a curated record